UUUUUAUAUAAUACUCUGUGUGUGUGUGUGUGUGUGUGUGUGUGUGUGUGUGUAUAUACACACACACAACAGCUUUACUUUUCAUAGUAUCAUUCAUCC
RNAcentral lists this microRNA precursor (99 nucleotides) under Pelodiscus sinensis (Chinese soft-shelled turtle). RNAcentral describes it as "miRNA (ENSPSIG00000019618.1)". Lineage: Eukaryota; Metazoa; Chordata; Testudines; Trionychidae. The record is from RNAcentral.